GAUGAACGUUGGCGGCGUGCCUAACACAUGCAAGUCGAACGAUAGUCGCAAGACUAUAGUGGCGCACGGGUGAGUAACACGUAGCUUACCAGCCUCUCAGCGCGGGAUAACGGCUCGAAAGAGGUGCUAAUACCGCACAAGCUCACGGGAUGUAGAGACUAGUGAGAAAAGGUGCAAAUCACUGAGAGACGGGGCUGCGGCCCAUCAGCUAGNGGUGCGGUAACGGCGCACCAAGGCGACGACGGGUA
RNAcentral lists this ribosomal RNA (248 nucleotides) under uncultured bacterium. Its description in RNAcentral is "partial 16S ribosomal RNA". It matches the Rfam family "Bacterial small subunit ribosomal RNA", at positions 28 to 285 of the family's 1533-position model. The record is from RNAcentral.